RNAcentral lists this ribosomal RNA (234 nucleotides) under uncultured bacterium. RNAcentral describes it as "partial 16S ribosomal RNA". It matches the Rfam family "Bacterial small subunit ribosomal RNA", at positions 114 to 334 of the family's 1533-position model. The record is from RNAcentral.
CGCGUAGGUAAUCUACCCCAAAGUCUGGAAUAACCGGCCGAAAGGCUGGCUAAUACUGGAUAGAGCGACGGAAUCCGUAAUUGGGUUUUCGGGAAAGGGAGGGAGCAAUCCCCCUCGCUUUAGGAUGAGCCUGCGUCCCAUCAGCUAGUUGGUAAGGUAAUGGCUUACCAAGGCUUUGACGGGUAGCUGGUCUGAGAGGAUGAUCAGCCACACUGGAACUGAAACACGGUCCAG